GAUGAAGAACGUAGCGAAAUGCGAUAAGUAAUGUGAAUUGCAGAAUUCAGUGAAUCAUCCAAUCUUUGAACGCACAUUGCGCCCCUUGGUAUUCCGAGGGGCAUGCCUGUUCGAGCGUCAUUAUAACCCCUCAAGCUCAGCUUGGUGUUGGGGCCUGCUGCACUGGCAGCCCUUAAAAUCAGUGGCGGCGCCAUCUGGCUCUAAGCGUAGUAAUUCUUCUCGCUAUGGAGUCCUGGUGGAUGCUUGCCAUCAACCCCCAAUUUUUCUAUGGUUGACCUCGGAUCAGGUAGGGAUACCCGCUGAACUUAAGCAUAUCAAUAAGCGGAGGA
This 329-nucleotide unclassified non-coding RNA is filed under the name soil metagenome. Its description in RNAcentral is "partial contains 5.8S ribosomal RNA, internal transcribed spacer 2, and large subunit ribosomal RNA". The stretch from base 1 to 120 matches the Rfam family "5.8S ribosomal RNA", at positions 35 to 154 of the family's 154-position model. The record is from RNAcentral.